UCGAGAAUAAUUCACAAUGGGGGCAACCCUGAUGGUGCAACGCCGCGUGGAGGAUGACGGUCUUCGGAUUGUAAACUCCUGUCAUCUGGGAGAAAGACCUGACGGUAAAUAGCCGGCAGGGUUGAUAGUACCAGAAGAGGAAGGGACGGCUAACUUCGUGCCAGCAGCCGCGGUAAUACGAAGGUCCCGAGCGUUGUUCGGAAUCACUGGGCGUAAAGGGAGCGUAGGCGGCGCGGUAAGUCGGAUGUGAAAUCCCGGGGCUCAACCCCGGAACUGCAUCUGAUACUGCCGUGCUAGAGUAAUGGAGAGGUAGCUGGAAUUAUCGGUGUAGCAGUGAAAUGCGUAGAUAUCGAUAGGAACACUCGUGGCGAAAGCGAGCUACUGGACAUUUACUGACGCUGAGGCUCGAAGGCUAGGGGAGCGAAAGGG
RNAcentral lists this ribosomal RNA (429 nucleotides) under uncultured Luteolibacter sp. RNAcentral's name for it is "bacterial SSU rRNA". It matches the Rfam family "Bacterial small subunit ribosomal RNA", at positions 355 to 776 of the family's 1533-position model. Lineage: Bacteria; Pseudomonadati; Verrucomicrobiota; Verrucomicrobiia; Verrucomicrobiales; Verrucomicrobiaceae. The record is from RNAcentral.